This 152-nucleotide unclassified non-coding RNA is filed under the name uncultured Geopora. Its description in RNAcentral is "sequence contains ITS2". Lineage: Eukaryota; Fungi; Ascomycota; Pezizomycetes; Pezizales; Pyronemataceae. The record is from RNAcentral.
AAUCAACUCAAGCUGGUCGUGGAGGAAGAGUCCGUCCUGUUGCGGUCUCCCCUCUGAAAAUCAACGGCGGAGAGUCACUGGCAUUCGGUGUAGUAGUUUCAUUCAUCGAUCCUCCAGUGUCGUUCCUGCCAGCAAACCCCCAAGAUUCUCUU